AAACCCCGAAUGGCUCAUUAAAUCAAUUGUGGUUCCUUGGAUCGUUCCACAUCCUACUUGGAUAACUGUGGUAAUUCUAGAGCUAAUACAUGCAGAGAGUGCCUCGAGCCCGUGAGGGCGAGGGGAGCAUUUUUUAGACCAAAACCCAUGGGGACCCCUCUCCCCCGGGGGCGGGUCCCCCCUAAAACCUUGGUGACUCUUAAUAACUUCUGGGUGAUCCCAUGGGCUCCAGCCCGCGACCUAUCUUUUAAGUGUCUUCCUUAUCAACUUUUCACGGUAGGUUACAAGCCUACCCUGGUG
This 300-nucleotide ribosomal RNA is filed under the name Ostracoda sp. CF-2010a. RNAcentral's name for it is "bacterial SSU rRNA". It matches the Rfam family "Eukaryotic small subunit ribosomal RNA", at positions 84 to 351 of the family's 1831-position model. The record is from RNAcentral. Lineage: Eukaryota; Metazoa; Arthropoda; Ostracoda.